RNAcentral lists this unclassified non-coding RNA (228 nucleotides) under uncultured fungus. Its description in RNAcentral is "sequence contains ITS1". Lineage: Eukaryota; Fungi. The record is from RNAcentral.
GUAUUAUAUUUUUUCAUAGGCAUCAAAGCCCAUUCCAAAUUUUACAUUCUAGUCCAUACAAUAGUGUUUGUAACAUAGGCCUGGGCUUGUUGUCACCAACAAUCCCAAGUCUACAAAAAGUUCACAGGUGGAGAAAUGGUUUCAACAAGGGUGCACAUACUCCUAAGAGUCAGCAAACACCUUGAUAGAAAUUCAAUAAUGAUCCUUCCGCAGGUUCACCUACGGAAA